UGCCCAGCAACUCCUAUCCCUACAUCCUCGUGGUACUGGCCGGGGUACGAGUAACCUUGGGGAAGAUCGGGUAACCAACCCCCGGUGGGAACUUUGGUCGUAUGCUGACAGGGAAGG
Molecule: ribozyme, 117 nt
Filed under: Aedes aegypti (yellow fever mosquito)
Lineage: Eukaryota; Metazoa; Arthropoda; Insecta; Diptera; Culicidae
Description: drz-agam-1 ribozyme
Rfam family: drz-agam-1 ribozyme
Source: Rfam by way of RNAcentral